UAGUGGUGCACAUUACAACACGAACUAAUGGCAUGAGAAAAAUUGUAACGCACAAACAUUUUAAAUCUGAUUUCGGGAAAGUCGUCAUUCACUCGUUCAAUAGCCGAUGGGACAUUUUGUCACCGUGCUUACAGAAAGAUAAUGUUCGCGGUUUUUGGAGCUAACCGGUGACUCUGAGUCAGGAGCAGAGUCAUUCCUCACAGAUGAGGAGGUGGUCUGCCAGGAGGGACUUUACCCAGCUGAAGAGAUGCAUUGAUGAUCACAAAGGAACAUGAAGAAGAGCAGCACGUGUAAGAGGUCUUUGCAUUGCUGCUGACGGCCACUGGAGCCAAACUCUGGAUGACUGAGUACAAGAGCCGUGGGACUUGCAGACUUUUGAAAGGA
Molecule: long non-coding RNA, 384 nt
Organism: Lates calcarifer (barramundi perch)
Lineage: Eukaryota; Metazoa; Chordata; Actinopteri; Centropomidae
Exons: 3
Source: RefSeq, a predicted model, not a curated record